This 392-nucleotide ribosomal RNA is filed under the name uncultured Anaerolineaceae bacterium. Its description in RNAcentral is "bacterial SSU rRNA". It matches the Rfam family "Bacterial small subunit ribosomal RNA", at positions 980 to 1382 of the family's 1533-position model. Lineage: Bacteria; Bacillati; Chloroflexota; Anaerolineae; Anaerolineales; Anaerolineaceae. The record is from RNAcentral.
UUGUACAUACAAGUAGUAGGGAAAGGAAACUGGACCGGACCCUUCGGGAGCUUGUACAGGUGGCUGCAUGGCUGUCGUCAGCUCGUGUCGUGAGAUGUUCGGUUAAGUCCGCUAACGAGCGCAACCCUCGCUGUGUGUUACAAGUGUCACACGGAACUGCCGGUCAUAAACCGGAGGAAGGUGGGGAUGACGUCAAGUCAGCAUGGCCUUUAUAUCCUGGGCUACACACACGCUACAAUGGGAAGGGACAAUAGGUUGCGAAGCCGCGAGGCGGAGCCAAUCCAGCAAAACUUCCCUCAGUUCAGAUUGCAGGCUGCAACUCGCCUGCAUGAAGUUGGGGUUGCUAGUAAACGCAGGUCAGCCAUACUGCGUUGAAUACGUUCCCGGGGCUU